This is a non-coding RNA of Dermacentor andersoni, 2556 nucleotides long. Lineage: Eukaryota; Metazoa; Arthropoda; Arachnida; Ixodida; Ixodidae. The record is from RefSeq and is a predicted model, not a curated record.
AGGCAGUCUGAAAAAUAUUGCAGAAGUGAUACUCAGUAGAAUCCAGUCAAACGACAUCUGGGGAAAGAAAAAGUGUAUGGUUCAAUGAGGUUUCAUUAAAGUGAAGGACGUAGAUUGAGGACAUUUAAGUGAGGAACUGUACUGUAUGCUGCUUCUUUUGCACAAUAUGUCUACCUGUGCACAAAAGGUUGCCAAAGAAUAGUGCAGCUAUCAUAUUCUGUUUCAUGCUAGGUAAUUUAAACUAGUAGUUUGCUUUGAUAGUCUAUACCAGUAAUCUCCAACUCAUCUCUGUCUACGCACUGCAUGCAGCCCACAUAGCUUCGCUAGGCAUGCGCGGCACUGUUUUCUCAUCUUUUCCAUUAGACUGUACUACGGAGGAAAUUUUUGGGCCAAUGUGAUUGAAAAAAAAAGGUGCACCUUAAAUUCAGGCAAAUACUGUAUAUUUCAUUGCAAACUUUCACUUCUUAAAAUGUCCACAUGCAGGCCAUAAAUGGGGUAUUUAGAGGCAAAUGUCUUCAACGCAUUCACUGCGCCUUAAUUAAGUAACAGCAAGACAAAUGCAGCAGCUGUUGAACACCUUCCUGGGGGGUCACAUGCAUGUAUGCUGAUUAUGGUUACAUUAGUUCGCACUAUCUAGCGAACGCCAACUUUAGAUAGAAAUAAUGGAUUUGAACCACUAAAUGUAUGAGCGCCAUCUGGAGCUUUCAGAACAGCAUCGAAUUGACCAGGCUACUUAACAGAAAUAUACUUAUUGUUAUCAUUCCAUGGGCAGCCAGCCAAUGUCCCAACCCUAUUUUAAGUUUAUACAGUAGUUCCGCUGAGUUGAGUUUUCUGUCACUGGAGUCAAGUGUAUACGUUUUGGUUCCACUUACUUAUUUGAGUAAACCGAUUGGUUAACUGAUCAGAAUUAACAUAGCAAAAAAAAUUGCUCAGCUGCAAGCAAUGCUGUAGUAGACGGCUCCUGAUUUUUAUGACCACAUCGGGUUCUUCAGGAAUGUUCUUGAAUUCUUCCCGUAUUGGAAGUGAGUGGGAGUCAAGCUUGUAGCCUUCAUGGUCAGCAGCAUAACACCAUAGGCACUGCAGUGCAAUAUGUGUAAUAGUCUGCAAGGAAUCUCUGCUGUAGGAUAUACUUACUCUUUACCAUCUCCACCUUCUCUGGUGUGGCCGGCAGCUUUGUUGCGUUUGUGGCCACGCUGCGGCAAGCCUGGCCUGUAAGGCUGCGUGUGGCAGCCUCGGAGGGUAGCCAAAAGUGUUUGACUAUCUUUAAACAACACUUCACAUCUGAUACAUUUUUCAUGACAAAGAGCCAUUUGUCCAAUGGCAUGAAGAUGUUUUCCCCAAGUUUUACCUGCAUUAAGAUAGUGAUGCAAAGAAACAGUUAUUUUUUUUGCUAAAAUAUAACUACCUAUAAAGGUGGAGUCAAGUAGAUAUCGCACAAGACAAGAAAAAAAUUUCGCUGCCUAGUAAUGUAAAACAGUCAUCAGCAAAAUAAACUUGCACACACCAUUGUAAUCAACAGCCUCAGGAGGAAUGCAAAGACGUAGGAUCGUUCCCCACCUGUGGUGGGAUCACUGUCACAGAUGGCUCAGGAGUCCUCCGAGCCCACGCGUGGUGGUCCCGCAGUGACCCCUCCCGCCCCUGUGGUGGAAGCAGCCAGCGCUGCUCCAUCCCCUUCAAAGGCCCCGCAGACACCAGUCCCGCAAGGCCCUAAAAUCUGCCGAACUCCAAGGCCCGAGACGCGUGUCUUGGCACCCGAUUCUCGGUCUUCCAAUGCUUCAGAGAGAGCGAUGGACGUCGAUCCAAAAACCCCGGUGUCGUCGACGCUGAAGGACAAGCGCUCUCUCGAGCGCGGAAAGAGGGACAAAGUCCCAAUCACCACGUUAAAUUAGAAAGCGAUAACCUAAAGGUUAUCGCUCAUUUGUAUUAACAUGCUUUAGAUCUGUGUUACCUAGCAUCUUUCUUAUUCUCAUUUACUUUUAUAGCCAUUUUUACCUUUCAGUUUCAAAUGGGCUUUUAUUAUCCAUUGGAAUUGUAGAGGGCUUUUACACAACUUAGGUGACAUCAAAAACAUGUUAAGUAACUUCUCUCCUGUGGCCGUCUGCUUACAAGAAACAAACUUAGGUGAAAAGCACAAAAACAUUAUAAAAGGCUUCAGUUGUUGUACUACCGUACUCAGGCGAACCGGCUUUCGGGUUAUGUAGCCAUUGUUCUGCAGAGCGGCAUUGCAGCCAGUGAAGAUGCCAAUUUAUACUCACUUAGAAGUCGUUCCUGUCACUGUUUUAGCGCACACAAAAAAAGAACUUCCCGCAAGGUUAGAGCAUUGCACGCGUAAUGCGAAGACGUGGGGUCGUUCCCCACCGGCGGCAAGUUGUUUUUGCAUCCACUUUCAUUGCCAUUAAUUUAUCAUAUCUUUAAUUCAAGUGGUAAGUACAAAUAAUUUUUCCUAUGUUGUCCUUGGUGUCAUUAUUUCUUGGCUUCUAAUGAUGCACGUGUUUUCAUGUGGCACAACAAGAAGUUAAUGUACCUUUGCAAAAAGUAAAGAAACGUACCAUUCUG